CAGCAGCCGCGGUAAAACGUAGGUGGCAAGCGUUGUCCGGAAUUAUUGGGCGUAAAGGGCUCGCAGGCGGUUUCUUAAGUCUGAUGUGAAAGCCCCCGGCUCAACCGGGGAGGGUCAUUGGAAACUGGGAAACUUGAGUGCAGAAGAGGAGAGUGGAAUUCCACGUGUAGCGGUGAAAUGCGUAGAGAUGUGGAGGAACACCAGUGGCGAAGGCGACUCUCUGGUCUGUAACUGACGCUGAGGAGCGAAAGCGUGGGGAGCGAACAGGAUUAGAUACCCCCGUAGUCCCUGUCUCUUAUCC
Molecule: ribosomal RNA, 301 nt
Filed under: uncultured bacterium
Lineage: Bacteria
Description: partial 16S ribosomal RNA
Rfam family: Bacterial small subunit ribosomal RNA
Source: RNAcentral